This 281-nucleotide ribosomal RNA is filed under the name uncultured bacterium. Its description in RNAcentral is "partial 16S ribosomal RNA". It matches the Rfam family "Bacterial small subunit ribosomal RNA", at positions 334 to 612 of the family's 1533-position model. The record is from RNAcentral.
UACACCUACGGGGCGCAGCAGUGAGGAAUAUUGGUCAAUGGGCGGGAGCCUGAACCAGCCAAGUCGCGUGAAGGAAGAAGGUACUUAGUAUUGUAAACUUCUUUUGUCGGGGAACAAAGGCGGAGACGCGUCUCCGGAUGAGUGUACCCGAAGAAAAAGCAUCGGCUAACUCCGUGCCAGCAGCCGCGGUAAUACGGAGGAUGCGAGCGUUAUCCGGAUUUAUUGGGUUUAAAGGGUGCGCAGGCGGAGGUGCAAGUCAGUGGUCAAAUUGCGGGGCUCAA